UUUUGCAUAUCAAUAAGCGGAGGAAAAGAAACCAACAGGGAUUGCCUUAGUAGCGGCGAGUGAAGCGGCAAAAGCUCAAAUUUGAAAUCUGGCGCCUUCGGUGUCCGAGUUGUAAUUUGAAGAUUGUAACCUUGGGGUUGGCUCUUGUCUAUGUUUCUUGGAACAGGACGUCACAGAGGGUGAGAAUCCCGUGCGAUGAGAUGCCCAAUUCUAUGUAAGGUGCUUUCGAAGAGUCGAGUUGUUUGGGAAUGCAGCUCUAAGUGGGUGGUAAAUUCCAUCUAAAGCUAAAUAUUGGCGAGAGACCGAUAGCGAACAAGUACAGUGAUGGAAAGAUGAAAAGAACUUUGAAAAGAGAGUGAAAAAGUACGUGAAAUUGUUGAAAGGGAAGGGUUUGAGAUCAGACUCGAUAUUUUGUGAGCCUUGCCUUCGUGGCGGGGUGACCCGCAGCUUAUCGGGCCAGCAUCGGUUUGGGCGGUAGGAUAAUGGCGUAGGAAUGUGACUUUACUUCGGUGAAGUGUUAUAGCCUGCGUUGAUGCUGCCUGCCUAGACCGAGGA
RNAcentral lists this ribosomal RNA (555 nucleotides) under Meyerozyma guilliermondii. RNAcentral describes it as "eukaryotic LSU rRNA". It matches the Rfam family "Eukaryotic large subunit ribosomal RNA", at positions 34 to 594 of the family's 3401-position model. Lineage: Eukaryota; Fungi; Ascomycota; Pichiomycetes; Serinales; Debaryomycetaceae. The record is from RNAcentral.